AUUGAACGCUGGCGGCAGGCCUAACACAUGCAAGUCGAGCGGAAGAAGGGAGCUUGCUCCUGGAUUCAGCGGCGGACGGGUGAGUAAUGCCUAGGAAUCUGCCUGGUAGUGGGGGAUAACGUCCGGAAACGGGCGCUAAUACCGCAUACGUACUGAGGGAGAAAGUGGGGGAUCUUAGGACCUCACGCUAUCAGAUGAGCCUAGGUCGGAUUAGCUAGUUGGUGGGGUAAAGGCCUACCAAGGCGACGAUCCGUAACUGGUCUGAGAGGAUGAUCAGUCACACUGGAACUGAGACACGGUCCAGACUCCUACGGGAGGCAGCAGUGGGGAAUAUUGGACAAUGGGCGAAAGCCUGAUCCAGCCAUGCCGCGUGUGUGAAGAAGGUCUUCGGAUUGUAAAGCACUUUAAUUUGGGAAGAAGGGCAGUAAGUUAAUACCUUGCUGUUUUGACGUUACCAACAGAAUAAGCACCGGCUAACUUCGUG
This 484-nucleotide ribosomal RNA is filed under the name uncultured bacterium. Its description in RNAcentral is "partial 16S ribosomal RNA". It matches the Rfam family "Bacterial small subunit ribosomal RNA", at positions 30 to 507 of the family's 1533-position model. The record is from RNAcentral.